GCAGUCGAGCGGUAGCACAGAGAGCUUGCUCUCGGGUGACGAGCGGCGGACGGGUGAGUAAUGUCUGGGAAACUGCCUGAUGGAGGGGGAUAACUACUGGAAACGGUAGCUAAUACCGCAUAACGUCGCAAGACCAAAGUGGGGGACCUUCGGGCCUCAUGCCAUCAGAUGUGCCCAGAUGGGAUUAGCUAGUAGGUGGGGUAACGGCUCACCUAGGCGACGAUCCCUAGCUGGUCUGAGAGGAUGACCAGCCACACUGGAACUGAGACACGGUCCAGACUCCUACGGGAGGCAGCAGUGGGGAAUAUUGCACAAUGGGCGCAAGCCUGAUGCAGCCAUGCCGCGUGUGUGAAGAAGGCCUUCGGGUUGUAAAGCACUUUCAGCGGGGAGGAAGGCGAUAAGGUUAAUAACCUUGUCGAUUGACGUUACCCGCAGAAGAAGCACCGGCUAACUCCGUGCCAGCAGCCGCGGUAAUACGGAGGGUGCAAGCGUUAAUCGGAAUUACUGGGCGUAAAGCGCACGCAGGCGGUCUGUCAAGUCGGAUGUGAAAUCCCCGGGCUCAACCUGGGAACUGCAUUCGAAACUGGCAGGCUAGAGUCUUGUAGAGGGGGGUAGAAUUCCAGGUGUAGCGGUGAAAUGCGUAGAGAUCUGGAGGAAUACCGGUGGCGAAGGCGGCCCCCUGGACAAAGACUGACGCUCAGGUGCGAAAGCGUGGGGAGCAAACAGGAUUAGAUACCCUGGUAGUCCACGCCGUAAACGAUGUCGAUUUGGAGGUUGUGCCCUUGAGGCGUGGCUUCCGGAGCUAACGCGUUAAAUCGACCGCCUGGGGAGUACGGCCGCAAGGUUAAAACUCAAAUGAAUUGACGGGGGCCCGCACAAGCGGUGGAGCAUGUGGUUUAAUUCGAUGCAACGCGAAGAACCUUACCUGGUCUUGACAUCCACAGAACUUUCCAGAGAUGGAUUGGUGCCUUCGGGAACUGUGAGACAGGUGCUGCAUGGCUGUCGUCAGCUCGUGUUGUGAAAUGUUGGGUUAAGUCCCGCAACGAGCGCAACCCUUAUCCUUUGUUGCCAGCGGUUAGGCCGGGAACUCAAAGGAGACUGCCAGUGAUAAACUGGAGGAAGGUGGGGAUGACGUCAAGUCAUCAUGGCCCUUACGACCAGGGCUACACACGUGCUACAAUGGCAUAUACAAAGAGAAGCGACCUCGCGAGAGCAAGCGGACCUCAUAAAGUAUGUCGUAGUCCGGAUUGGAGUCUGCAACUCGACUCCAUGAAGUCGGAAUCGCUAGUAAUCGUAGAUCAGAAUGCUACGGUGAAUACGUUCCCGGGCCUUGUACACACCGCCCGUCACACCAUGGGAGUGGGUUGCAAAAGAAGUAGGUAGCUUAACCUUCGGGAGGGC
Molecule: ribosomal RNA, 1401 nt
Filed under: bacterium
Lineage: Bacteria
Description: bacterial SSU rRNA
Rfam family: Bacterial small subunit ribosomal RNA
Source: RNAcentral